UACGGAGGAUGCGAGCGUUAUCCGGAUUUAUUGGGUUUAAAGGGUGCGCAGGCGGCACGGCAAGCCGGCGGUCAAAUCGCGGGGCUCAACCCCGCCCAGCCGUCGGAACUGCCGGGCUAGAGUGGGCGAGAAGUGCGCGGGAUGCGUGGUGUAGCGGUGAAAUGCAUAGAUAUCACGCAGAACUCCGAUUGCGAAGGCAGCGCACCGGCGCCCUACUGACGCUCAGGCACGAAAGCGUGGGUAUCGAACAGG
RNAcentral lists this ribosomal RNA (252 nucleotides) under uncultured bacterium. Its description in RNAcentral is "partial 16S ribosomal RNA". It matches the Rfam family "Bacterial small subunit ribosomal RNA", at positions 524 to 776 of the family's 1533-position model. The record is from RNAcentral.